CACAGAUAAACCGUAAGGGGGAUAGACUGACAGGGAAACUUAGGAUGGUAGCUACAGAGAGAACAGGUAAUCCAAAUAGAGUCAGCCUAUAAAUAUAAUAACGGAAUAAUAACUAUUCUCAUUGAUAUAGGAUAAAAACCCUAUUGUGUCUGAAGGAUACAGCUGCAGAGGUAAUCUAAGAUCCCCAGUAAUGUAUAGCUUGAAGUCCUACCUAAUGAAAGGGAAAGCUGCAGAAAUAGUUAAACUAAUGCACCAGGAAAAAAUCUCUCAUGCAAAAUCUCUGUCACUCAUAAGGUUAGCAUUGAGGAGUAUGUAGACAGGUAAGGGAGACAGUAAGUGUCUAUAAUAUCCUAUCACUACUGAAACAAACACCUUAGAGGGUGUUCUAAG
This is a non-coding RNA of Pelobates cultripes (western spadefoot toad), 390 nucleotides long. The record is from the annotation of a GenBank genome assembly. Lineage: Eukaryota; Metazoa; Chordata; Amphibia; Anura; Pelobatidae.